CAAUGACAGCAUUUGUAACAAGAAGAAACUUUGCCUGGUGAAACAAGUGCUGAAUGUUUUGUUUUCACAUUUCUUGUUCCAAAUAUAUACCUUCGAACAAAUGUGGAAGAGAUGAAGGAUAAAUGUAGGACAAGAAAGGGAAGUUUAAGAUGUCAUGAGUUUGCUGAAGAAUCAAGGUUUUAUGAUGCAUUAAGAAGUUUAAGAAUCAAGGAAAACUUUGUAUCAUACUGGAAAAUAGUGACAGGCCAGGAAAUAUCUGAUGUAUCUGUGCUUCUUGGAGUUAGGAAGCAUAUCACAGUAUUAUGUUUAUUUCUUUGAUGUAAGUGAAGAAGAGAUCGUCAGAGUAAAUACUGGAGGUCAUAAAAAUGCAGAACCAGUUUAUCUCAUUUAUGGAGCUUCCCCAGUUGCUCUGGAUUCCCUUCAUGAAACACUUGGAUGAGUCACUGAGGGAGCUUCUCAAAUUACAGUGGAUUCCCUCAAUGAAAUCAUUUGAUGACUCAUUGAGAAAGACUUCUUUUCUUUGUUAUCUCUAUCUACUAAGGGGGGACGUUGAAAAGCCAUGUUCUCUCUACUAAAAUUUAAUUUUGUUGCAGGCAGCCAAGUUUAAGAUGUCAUGAAUUUGCUCAAGAAUCAAGGUUGAAAUAUGAAACCAAUUUGCAGUCUUUUCCUAAACCAAGAGUGUUAUAUGUACUAAGAAAUUUGUUCUGUUUGAGCUUAUUGAAAGCAGUUAUUAAUUUCCCUUUACCGGACUUUUAAGUAUUUUAUAACCCCAAUUCAAAGAUGCAUUUUGCGGCAUGGGAGAGAGGAAGAAUGGUUUUUGCAGAGUUUCUGAACAAACUCAAUUAAUGGUUGCGACAAUGGAGGACAAAAUUACAUCAUGCACUGAAGAAAACUUGAUUGAGUCACUUGCAAGCAAAAAGAAAAUUUACAAGAUGAAACAAUUGCACAAAACCUGGUCUUCACAUUUACUUAGUAAACUAGCAUUUCAUGCUGUUUAAAUUUUGUCUGGCUUGGAAAAUGUUUAAGUGGUUUUUUCUGUCAUUUUGUACUAAAGCAUGUAAUUUUCUAUUUAUACUUUCAAGUUUCACCAAAUAGUCAUUGUUUCAGUGCAGCAUUCUGCGCUAUGGAAGAUAAUAGGUGUUAGAA
Molecule: long non-coding RNA, 1146 nt
Organism: Pistacia vera
Lineage: Eukaryota; Viridiplantae; Streptophyta; Magnoliopsida; Sapindales; Anacardiaceae
Exons: 9
Source: RefSeq, a predicted model, not a curated record